This 735-nucleotide non-coding RNA is filed under the name Pongo abelii (Sumatran orangutan). Lineage: Eukaryota; Metazoa; Chordata; Mammalia; Primates; Hominidae. The record is from RNAcentral.
CGCGCGGUGACCGUCGAGGUGACCCGCACCUGGCUCCAUGGCGGAACCGGCCGGCGUGGAUUAUUCCCCUCUCGGGAGAGAGGUCUGCAGCCGGGCCUCAGUGCUUCAGUUCGUGGCCUGGCAUUUUGUGAAGAGUGUCUUCAUCUCUGCAUCCCUAGUGCAACAGAGCAUGAUAAAAAUUCAAUAAAUAUUUAUUGCAGAGUCUUGAUGUCUUUUGGGAAAGGAACUCUAUGGUUACCUUUACUCUAAGUUAAAAAACAACAACAACAACAAAAAAAAAACCCACAAAACCCUGAGGCUCAGAAGAUAAAUAUUUGCUGAAGAUCACUGUGCUUAUUAGAAGGGUGUUACUGAUUCUUACCUCAGAGAAGAGAAUGUCAUGGAGACAAAAUGACCUGCUUAGAGUUCUGCGCCCCCCAGCAUGGAGAGCAGAGCGCAAAGAUUUCCUCCAGACUCCCACAUUCUCCCUUGGAAUCCAAGAACUUGUCUACUAUCACAACACUUUAGUACCCACUUAGAUGGGGUCUCACUCUGUUGCCCAGGCUGGUCUCAAACUCCUGGCUUCAAGGAAUCCUCCUGCUUCGGCCUCCCAAACUUCUGGGAUUACAGAUAUGAGCCACCAUGGCUGACUGACGGGCACCAAAUUCUAGGAGAGGACUUGAAUAGGCUCCUAAGGAGGCAGCAGAAACCAAGGUAAUCACAAUGGUCAACAGCAGCGAAGGCAGCACUUUCUGA